RNAcentral lists this ribosomal RNA (540 nucleotides) under uncultured bacterium. RNAcentral describes it as "bacterial SSU rRNA". It matches the Rfam family "Bacterial small subunit ribosomal RNA", at positions 364 to 917 of the family's 1533-position model. The record is from RNAcentral.
UUGCGANUGGGCGAAGCCUGACGCAGCGACGCCGCGUGGGGGAUGAAGGCCUUCGGGUUGUAAACCUCUUUCAGCAGGGACGAAGCGAGAGUGACGGUACCUGCAGAAGAAGCGCCGGCUAACUACGUGCCAGCAGCCGCGGUAACACGUAGGGCGCAAGCGUUGUCCGGAAUUAUUGGGCGUAAAGAGCUCGUAGGCGGUCUGUUGCGUCCGCUGUGAAAUCUCGGGGCUUAACCCCGAGCCUGCAGUGGAUACGGGCAGACUAGAGGUAGGUAGGGGAGAAUGGAAUUCCCGGUGUAGCGGUGAAAUGCGCAGAUAUCGGGAGGAACACCGGUGGCGAAGGCGGUUCUCUGGGCCUUACCUGACGCUGAGGAGCGAAAGCGUGGGGAGCAAACAGGAUUAGAUACCCUGGUAGUCCACGCCGUAAACGUUGGGCGCUAGGUGUGGGAUCCUUCCACGGAUUCCGUGCCGCAGCUAACGCAUUAAGCGCCCCGCCUGGGGAGUACGGCCGCAAGGCUAAAACUCAAAGAAAUUGACGGA